This 114-nucleotide ribosomal RNA is filed under the name Erinaceus europaeus (western European hedgehog). The record is from RNAcentral. Lineage: Eukaryota; Metazoa; Chordata; Mammalia; Eulipotyphla; Erinaceidae.
GUUUAUGGCCAUACCACCCUGAACAUGCCUAAUCUUGUCUGAUCUCAGAAGUUAAGCAGGGUCAGGGUUGGUUAGUACUUAGAUGGGAGAAAUAAACCAUCACUUCAGUUAAUA